UGAGGAAUAUUGGUCAAUGGACGAAAGUCUGAACCAGCCAUGCCGCGUGAAGGAAUAAGGCCCUAUGGGUCGUAAACUUCUUUUGUAUGUGAGCAAUAAGGUCCACGUGUGGACCGAUGAGAGUAGCAUACGAAUAAGCAUCGGCUAACUCCGUGCCAGCAGCCGCGGUAAUACGGAAGGUCCGGGCGUUAUCCGGAUUUAUUGGGUUUAAAGGGAGCGUAGGCUGGAGAUUAAGCGUGUUGUGAAAUGCCGCGGCUCAACCGUGGCACUGCAGCGCGAACUGGUUUCCUUGAGUGCGCUGAAAGUGGGCGGAAUUUGUGGUGUAGCGGUGAAAUGCUUAGAUAUCACGAAGAACUCCGAUUGCGAAGGCAGCUCACUGUAUCGCGACUGACGCUGAAGCUCGAAAGUGCGGGUAU
This 416-nucleotide ribosomal RNA is filed under the name uncultured Prevotella sp. Its description in RNAcentral is "bacterial SSU rRNA". It matches the Rfam family "Bacterial small subunit ribosomal RNA", at positions 355 to 768 of the family's 1533-position model. Lineage: Bacteria; Pseudomonadati; Bacteroidota; Bacteroidia; Bacteroidales; Prevotellaceae. The record is from RNAcentral.